This 377-nucleotide ribosomal RNA is filed under the name uncultured bacterium. RNAcentral's name for it is "bacterial SSU rRNA". It matches the Rfam family "Bacterial small subunit ribosomal RNA", at positions 42 to 448 of the family's 1533-position model. The record is from RNAcentral.
UCAGGCCUAACACAUGCAAGUCGAGCGAGACGUUCGGGUCUAUCGUCGGACGGGUGAGUAACGUGUGGGAAUAUGCCCUUCGGUUUGGAAUAGCCCUGGGAAACUGGGAGUAAUACUGAAUUCGGUAUACGCCGUAAAGAUUUAUCUACGAAGGAUUAGCCCGGGUGGGAUUAGGUAGUUGGUGGGGUAAUGGCCUACCAAGCCGACGAUCCAUAGCUGGUUUGAGAGGAUGAUCAGCCACUCUGGGACUGAGACACGGCCCAGACUCCUACGGGAGGCAGCAGUGGGGAAUCUAAAGGAAUGGGGGAAACCCUGAUCUAUCCAUGCCGCGUCUUCAUUGAAGGCCUUAGGGUUGUAAAGCUCUUCAGGGGGGAAGA